RNAcentral lists this long non-coding RNA (7634 nucleotides) under Zea mays. RNAcentral describes it as "long non-coding RNA (ZMAY_LNC001082)". Lineage: Eukaryota; Viridiplantae; Streptophyta; Magnoliopsida; Poales; Poaceae. The record is from RNAcentral.
UGAGAGUCUUUUCUUUAGUCGGGUAAGUCUUGCUGAGUAAUUCCAUACUCAGGGUUUUAUUCCCUGUUGUUUUUCAGGUUAUAGUUUUGUGCUGCUGUGAUGGUGUUAAGUGCCGGUGGGCUCGGCCUUCUUAUAUAAGUAUACCCCGUCUUUACCUUCUUAUUGAGGAUGGUCACUUGAGCUAGCAUAUAUUUCAAACUUAUAAAUAAUUUAUAACAGUUUAAAGUUAUUUCUUUGAAUCAUCUUUGUAAUCACUUCGAUCAUACAAAGUAAAAUUUUUGUAACUUGUAAAAUUUGGUAAUAAGAUUUCCGCUGCAAAGAUGUUGAUGUGUGUGAUUUGUGUUUACUUAAUCCCGCGGUUCUGGUUGUAAGUGGUUUAUCCGAUGUCCUUGGGGCAAUCGGACAGAUCCUGUUAAGUUAUUUAGUGCACAUGCAUAGCUGUCUGAGGUCUUUGAGACAAGGACAGGUGCAUGUGGGCCCAAUAACUUGGGAGGUUCUGCCACAGCUGGUAUCGGAGCUGGAUUAAGUAUAUACGGUCACAUACGAAUUUUCAAAACAAAAGUUUUGGUUUUGAAAAACUUAUUUUCAACUAAACACAUUGUUUGGCUUUGAAAAACAGUUUUGAAAAACUAUAAUACUAGCGACAUCCUCUGUUAAGCCCUAAAUUUAAGGACUAUCAGGUGGCUUAGUUAAAACCACUAACCCAGAACCGGGUGGGUAUUGCAUACAUGUGUACUGUUAUUUUGAAAGUCAUUUAGUCUUGAAUGGAUCGACGCUUAAGGUAAGGUGAGAUGUGAGAGCAUGACCGAACAAACGUCGGUCUAGGGAAGUGCUUAACUGUGGCGCUUGACUAUAUACAUGUUCUACAUAUGUAUAUACGAAAGCUGCGAUGUGGAGUAUUUACUUUACUGGGAUUCAGUACCCCAUGGAUUUGUAUGGGUAUACAGACAUGGGAAUACUGAGAAGUGUAAUGUACUUGUAACGACGCACCUACGCUCAGGUAAGAAGGUGAGUUACCAUAAUGAGUUGCCCUAUGGUUAAAGUGUGGCAACGGCGCCUAUGCGUGGCUCGGUGCUUAAUGAUGAGUUGGCCUCCAUAUAGCAAUAUAUGGAGUAUAAACUGUGGUAAACUGUCAUGUGUGAAUUGCAUCAUUGGGAAAUUGGGGUGUGAUGAAAUUUUUUGCAGGUACACUAACCUCGAAAACGUAUGUGUAGCUGACGACUAGCAAAAUACCGUGAGAGUCGUAAGUAUGCCACCGAGAUAGAACGCUAUUGCCAUAUUAUGUUGGCAAAAUCAGUGAAGACGCAUAGGACGAGCAUGCAUCCUGAUUGUUGCAUCAUGUUUGUCACCUAUACACCCAAAAUGCUUCUCUCAUCCUUAUUCCAGAAACCAAUGAUUGUAGAUAAUCUGGUGUAAUGUUGAAUUAUGAACUUCAAAAAAAAUAGCUGCCCUCCGUUCUUUAGGUAAUAUAUUUAGGUGUUAUACGUGUUUGCUCUUGUACUUGAUGUGCCGAUAGAAUAUUGGUGACUUGUUUGUUUAAACCGAAAACUAGGCCAUGUUCUUAGUUGGUGAACCAUGACUCAACGUUGAUUUGUCCGUUAUCACUCCAUGACCAAACACAUACAAAUAAAUGCUUAGAAAAUUUCUUUGUCGGACCUAAAGUGUACCCGGACUUAAAACAAGGAUAUCGAGUCAUGUUUCCUUCCAAAACCAUUCUCUUGUUCGAUUUGUGCAAACUGAUGUCUCUAUUCUACUUUUGUAUCUUCUUGGGGAUCAUGUCGAUAUUUUAUCAACUUAACCCAAGAAAGACAUGUCCGAUCAUUUUCUUAAGUUUGAUGCCUUUGGUUUCUUCAUAUCUCUCGAAGGCAUACCAACUUAAUUUGAUGAUUGUUUUCCCUUCGUAUCUAGUCAGAUACUAAUCCUUGACCUUGUAAUCCCUAUGAUGGGCAUAGAAAUAUGUUUGGGGCUGAAUUAACAGUCUUCCGUCAUACUCCUUUCAUCAAGUUUAGGUUAUGGCCAUGCCUUGUUCGUUUCAUCGGGCCAUGAUCUAUUUGGCUCUCUACUUGUAACCGUUUUGACAGGUAGAGUCUUUUUGUAUAUUGUCAUCCUGGCUCAGUCUAUUGUGUCGCGUGAGAUUUCUUAUUGGUUAUGUCUGGUAAUGGUGUUAUGACUAAAACUGAUGGUGCCGUGACGAAACCGAGGGCCUUCUGUGGGUGCGCACACAUGGUUGUGCUACUCGGCACGCGCUGGUAUCAUAGUUAGUAGUUGUAAUCCAUUAUGAGACUAUGUCAAUGCGUUAUCUUGGCACAAUAUGUUUUUUUGCUAUGUGAGAUUGUUAUUGGUGCCAGUUCGGUAAUGGUGUCAUGGUUAAUGACUUAUGGUGCCGCAGCGAAACUGAGAGCCUCCUGUGAAUGCGCACACAGGACUGUGCUACUCGUCAGAUGCUGGUAUCAAGGUCUCUGGUCAUGAUCCAUUGUGGAACUACACUGAUGUGUUAUCUUCCAUAAACUACUUCCUUGAAACAAUUUCUAUGUUGUUUGUCAAGUGAUCAAGCAACAUCUAUCAUCUCGGUUGGAUCAAACAGGCAUACCAAUUUCAUGGGUGGUCUCUUUCCUUUUGAUCUUGAUAGUGACUACUCAUACAAGUUCCCUUUACAUCCUUUGUGUAAAGGUGAAGCCUUGGAGCUUUUUAGUGUUGAGAGACAACUGAUUAGCUCUCAAAAUGGAGAUCUGUUUUCCCUGCUGCUGAGAUGCAGGAGUUUGUUCAUUCGCUCUCUUAUUAAUCCAAGUAUUCCCUAACCAAAUGGAUUUCUACCCAAGUGCAUGAUCACCUGGUGACCUGAGUGAACUCUCAACCCUUGGCUUACCGAUGGUACUGAGAGGACCUGCUCAAUGUCAAAAGUAGUUCAACAAGUUGAUUUUACUAACUUGUAACUGCAUUGUGAACAAAGGUUGAGUUUAGAGAUCGUUUUAUCGAGUUGUCUAAACUCACUUUUGUACAACCCCUCUUAAGGAAGUACUUUCAAGAAUCGAGAUUAAGUCGGUCAGAAACCACCUAAUCAUCACCCUAGUAGUGCCUCGAUUGCCUCACGUGUGCUUUUCCAGCAUGUGUGAUCAAGUCAAGUCAUGCCUAGUGCUCGAUAAAAUGGACUGGUUGCAAAGUCCGCAUCUACAGAUCCCUCCGCUGGUGAUUUUCUCAAAUUUAUAUCACCUUUCGUGGACUUGAAUUCUAUGGUUAGCCAUAUGUUAACCGCGAUAGUAUUCGACAUCCACAGCCGUCUCAUGUGCUAUAAACUUACCAUGACCACUUGUUGGUAAACCUCCUUCUGUGUGUUUUACCCAAGAUGGUGUAUCUGAUUCUGUUUGGGUAAAGUCGCAUAUCUACCGCUCGCCCAACAGACUCAGAUAGUACAGUGUCAUAAGAAAAAGCAAACUGCACACAUGGAACCUUAUCUGUUCCUCUGACAGGCAUCAUCUCUAUUGAUGGACAUCUUUAAAUUAGCUUGUGGCGAUACAUGCUAUGUCCACUAGAGAAACCAUAUCCAGAGACAUUCGCCUUUACUUGGAUUGUCUUAUGAUUAACGCUGAUAUGGACAUGGGUUACAUGCUUCUCUACUCUUAGAAGUCUUUCGCUCCGAAUCUCGGGACGAGAUUCUUUUAAGGGGGAGGGCUGUAACACCCCAGGUGUUUAUAUUCCGCUCGACAACGAAUACGAAUUUAAGCACGUGAUAUCAGUGAAUAAGACGAACACUAAGGUCUAAUUAUUUUCGCUUAUCACGAUUUUAAUAUCGCAUCUGUUCCGUUUAUCGUGAGUGCGACAUCAUUUUUACUUCUACUUAUUCGGGCUCUUCCAAAAUCUUAAUUUUUAGAACCAUGGUACUUUGGCAGGCGUUUUUACAUGACAGAAAAUAACGAAAAUGGGACUGAAAAUAUCCUCUCUCUCUCUCUAUACCGCUAUUCUCUCCCUUCUCUAAUUUUUCCAGCCAUCCUUAUCCCCUACGCGUCAUCGUUCUCACCCUUCCUCUGAUUUUUCGUAGCCGCCGCCGUUUCCCUCGCUCUCAUCCGCUCGGCCACCCUGGGUAAAAAUCCUGUCGCCGGUGCUUAUCCCCGCAGCCGCCCUCGCCGGAUUUUUCUCAGCCGAGCUCGUCUUCUACGCGCCGUCCCUGGGAGUCUUCAAAUAUCAGCGCUCGGCCUCAAUUCCAUUCAAUGGAGCACACCGCAAUCUUCCCAGCCGCUCCAGAUCGUGCCCCUCUUCUUCAACCUCGCCGGGCUGCAUCUUCCUCAUGACCCUGCUCCACUGUGUCCCUCCCAGGCGUUCGGCAGCUCGGUCGCUUGCUCCUCUCCGCCGCUCGCCGGUUCCCUUUCCCCAAGCUCGUGUUCCUCUGCUCCUCUUCCCCUACCGCGCAGCUCCCUGGCUCGCGGAGUUCCCCUGCGCGCUGUGGUCUUCCCCGCUCCAAGCUCCCAUGGCGCCCAGCUCGCCCAGCUCCGAUGAUGCCCAACUCCCAGCUUUCCCCCUCAGUUCGCUCUUCCCUGGCCACGCGAGCUCAGAGCCCUCCCUGCUCCCGAUCUCCAUAGCCGCGCCCCUCAAGCUCGGCAGGGAGCUUUCUUCCUCCCUCGUCCGCGGCUCUCUCCUGGCGCCUGGGGCCGCGCGAGCAGCCCUCCGCUCGGCUCUGCUCCUCCCUGCUCGCGUCAACCAGCUCGGACCGAGCGCUCUGACGUUCGCUUGCCGUAGUGCUUCUUCCCCAGCGCGUCCUCUGCCGCCCGCCAAGGUGGUGGCGCCCAUCUCCCUGGCCCUGGCUCGGAUCCCGCUCGGCGCCCUGACUCCUGCUCCCCGCGCCGCAUCGUCCCUGCCCAUUUCCCUCCUCGGCAAACUCCCCUGCGAGCUCCAGCUCGGUUUCUUCUCCCUUGCCGCUCGGUUCUUGCGUCUUUCCCCUGUGCGCUCGACCUCCGGCUCCGGCGUCGAGCUCUGCUUUGGUGUAUUGGGAGGUUCAAGUGGCGCUGAUGGGUUCUCUGCUGUCACACCUGGUGGUGGUACCUUGCUGCUAGGAGGUAGCGACAGCUUUGGCAACAGUAACGUUGGUGCUCGCCAAGCGCUCAACAAACGACCUGAAACCAAAGUUCGUCGUCAUCGUUCUCGCUGAUAUCGAGACGAAUUGUGAUGUGGUAAGCCAAUUCGUUACUUCCGCUAUUGGUCGGAUGGAUUUGGUUAGACACGUUAGUUACGUCGUUUCUCUUGUCGGUAGCACUGGCGCAUUGUGGUGGUGUUAGAUGUUUGUGAAAAUAACUCUUCGCUUGUGGCAUCGUAUUUGUUUCGCUAGUAAAGUUUAGGUUUCGGGUCUCGAACGUUUAGUUGAUAGGUUGUUGGUGCUGCUUUUGAUGAAAGGUUUUUAUAUGAUGGGAUCAGUGUCCUGCGUUAGUUGUUAUUAUAAUCCAUGUUCGUUGAUUGGUAAACGUCGAAGUUGGACAUUGAUCGUUCAGAGUAAUAGUCUCAAAUAAAUGUUUAUCGUUAUCCUGUUUAUCGUGGUCCAAAUUAUUUGGAGGUAAGCAACAUCGUUUGGUCCGCUUCAUUUAAAAUAUGAAAGCUACUUAAUGGAUAUUUUCUAUUAGUGUUUUAAGUCUUUAGGAUUUAAGUUGUGAUCGUAUAAAGGUCUAUAGUCCUUGAUAAUGCUCUACCUACAAGACUAUAGAAUAGUGUAAUGUUCAUAUAAUUAGCGUAUUGUGCACAUUAGUCCAGAUGAGAAUUUACAAAGGUAGUUACUGUGCCUAUAUCUUUGUUUUGCACUUAGAUGUCUAAAACUAAUAAGUCUAAGUUUGUUAGUCUUAGGGUGUUGAGCUUUAACUAAGGAGGGUAGAGCGUGUGUAUAGUUUAUCGGUUCUGUGAUGUGGCAGCUAGAUCUAAUUAGACUGGAAGAACGCGAUCGUUGUACUUAGUAAUAUCCCGGCAUCUGGUAAUUGCUUUUAAAUGUUAUUUGUGCCUCGUCACUAGGUAUUCGAUUCAUUAUCGUGUAGCCAAAAUUAGGCUAAUUAUGUUUAAAGUAUAUGAUUUGUUGUUUGUGAUGUUUUUGUUAGGUUCGUUUAAUUUAGAGAAGCGUAAUUAUUACGCGUAGUCGCAAUGCCUCGCCGCUAGGUGUUCCGCUAUCGCGUAACACUAUUUAGAUUUAUAAUAUUUCCGUCGAUAUGCAUUCAUGUGCAUAAUGCAUUUCAUUCAGGUACGUUAAUUAAUCGCGCGAUGCGGAAGACGAUCCAAGUCGACCCCAAGCGUGGGCUAAUCCGCAAGAUGAAGCUGAUGGACCAACCUGAAGAUGGUUAAAUCAAUCAAGUGCUCGGUCGAGGGAUACUCGUCAAGUGCUCAUCGCCUAACAAACACUAACCUAGUGUUACCCAGGCAAGCCCCGAUGCAUGCAACCCCUUCCUUGUGUUUUUAAAUAAUUUUUGCACACUUUAAGUCUAGUGAAAUGUGCAUUAGGUUUAUAGGAGUUGCUUGGAACCCUUUGAUGCAUUGUCUUCCUUGAUAUCCAUACCUUUAUAGAUACUUCUGGUGAAGUAUCAAAAUCUGAUUUACAAAAAUGCUUAGCCCUGCUCAGAUAUUGUGGAUAGAGGUUGUCUUUUGCAUUAAGGCCUAGCUCAGGGGUUAUCCUGAGGAAAGAUGGCUUCUACCUGCAAGAAUAUUUUCAUUGAGAGCGUGGUGGGAUCUUACUGCAAAGUUCCCUUUGAUGCUCUUUUCAUCCUAGGAACAUAAACAAUCCUAAGGAUGGAAGUACUUAAAUCGGGACUUGGGCUUGGAACAGGUGAUGUUCUACCCAGGUUAGUUAAGGAUUGGAUGCGUAUGUAGGCCUGUUGAUCAAGGACUAUCUUAACUAGCCACAUGCCCUGGAAAUGGGACAGGGUAAGCUUGAACCCGGCUAUUCCAUACAUGAAAAGACAAUCGCGCACUGGGAGUGGAGAGAUGGCGAGAGUGGCACGUACCCUCCUGGCAAAGGACCGCCUAAAAGGGGUGGUGUGCUCUCGGGUGGCGCGGACCUGUUCAUGCAGUGGAGGAUCCGUGGGAAUGGUAGACAUGCAAGGUUUACGAGAAACAUAUGUCGUGUGGUUAGAGAUCCUCAGCUGAGUAAAUCGAUUCGGAUCGCCGUUAUAUCCCCGGAGAGUGGAGACUUGAUCUCCGACCUACAACCUAAGUCAGGAUGUGAACCUCAUGAAUAAAAAUGAUGUUGUAUUGAUGAAAUGGUGAAAUUAGACCAGAUGCAAAUAGAGUCUAUUAAUAUUUAAUCUGGCGUUAAAAUAUUGAAAGUAAGGACUCACUUUAGUAAGCUAUUUCUGCAAAAGUAUCUAAGUUGAUUCUUGCUAAGAGCCUCUCCUUGAUUCCUAAAUCCAGCAUACCCUUGAGAGUCUUUUCUUUAGUCGGGUAAGUCUUGCUGAGUAAUUCCAUACUCAGGGUUUUAUUUCCUGUUGUUUUUCAGGUUAUAGUUUUGUGCUGCUGUGAUGGUGUUAAGUGCCGGUGGGCUCGACCUUCUUAUAUAAGUAUACCCCGUCUUUACCUUCUUAUUGAGGAUGGUCACUUGAGCUAGCAUAUAUUUCAAACUUAUAAAUAAUUUAUAACAGUUUAAAGUUAUUUCUUUGAAUCACCUUUGUAAUCAC